This 420-nucleotide ribosomal RNA is filed under the name bacterium. RNAcentral's name for it is "partial 16S ribosomal RNA". It matches the Rfam family "Bacterial small subunit ribosomal RNA", at positions 355 to 776 of the family's 1533-position model. The record is from RNAcentral.
UGGGGGAUAUUGCACAAUGGGCGAAAGCCUGAUGCAGCGACGCCGCGUGGGGGAUGAAGGCUUUCGGGUUGUAAACCUCUUUCGCUAUCGAACAAGGCCCGCUUAGGGUGGGUUGAGGGGAGGUGGAGAAGAAGCGCCGGCUAACUACGUGCCAGCAGCCGCGGUAAUACGUAGGGCGCGAGCGUUGUCCGGAAUUAUUGGGCGUAAAGGGUUUGUAGGCGGCUUGUUGCGCCUGCUGUGAAAACGCGGGGCUUAACUUCGCGCGUGCAGUGGGUACGGGCAGGCUUGAGUGUGGUAGGGGUGACUGGAAUUCCAGGUGUAGCGGUGGAAUGCGCAGAUAUCUGGAGGAACACCGAUGGCGAAGGCAGGUCACUGGGCCAUUACUGACGCUGAGGAGCGAAAGCAUGGGUAGCGAACAGG